AAAGAUGGGUUCUGCUAUCACUCUUGGAUGGACCUGCGGUGCAUUAGCUAGUUGGUAAGGUAACGGCUUACCAAGGCAAUGAUGCAUAGCCGAGUUGAGAGACUGAUCGGCCACAUUGGGACUGAGACACGGCCCAAACUCCUACGGGAGGCAGCAGUAGGGAAUCUUCCACAAUGGACGCAAGUCUGAUGGAGCAACGCCGCGUGAGUGAAGAAGGGUUUCGGCUCGCAAAGCUCUGUUGGUAGUGAAGAAAGAUAGAGGUAGUAACUGGCCUUUAUUUGACGGUAAUUACCUAGAAGGUCACGGCUAACUACGUGCCAGCAGCCGCGGUAAUACGUAGGUGGCAAGCGUUGUCCGGAUUUAUUGGGCGUAAAGCGAGUGCAGGCGGUUCAAUAAGUCUGAUGUGAAAGCCUUCGGCUCAACCGGAGAAUUGCAUCAGAAACUGUUGAACUUGAGUGCAGAAGAGGAGAGUGGAACUCCAUGUGUAGCGGUGGAAUGCGUAGAUAUAUGGAAGAACACCAGUGGCGAAGGCGGCUCUCUGGUCUGCAACUGACGCUGAGGCUCGAAAGCAUGGGUAGCGAACAGGAUUAGAUACCCUGGUAGUCCAUGCCGU
This 613-nucleotide ribosomal RNA is filed under the name uncultured bacterium. RNAcentral's name for it is "bacterial SSU rRNA". It matches the Rfam family "Bacterial small subunit ribosomal RNA", at positions 202 to 803 of the family's 1533-position model. The record is from RNAcentral.